RNAcentral lists this transfer RNA (71 nucleotides) under Culex quinquefasciatus (southern house mosquito). It matches the Rfam family "tRNA". From Rfam's summary of the family: Transfer RNA (tRNA) molecules are approximately 80 nucleotides in length. Their secondary structure includes four short double-helical elements and three loops (D, anti-codon, and T loops). The record is from Rfam by way of RNAcentral. Lineage: Eukaryota; Metazoa; Arthropoda; Insecta; Diptera; Culicidae.
GGACCCUUGGUGUAGUGGUAAGCGUGGUUGUUUCUCACCCAGUCGGCCUGGGUUCGAUCCCAGAAGGUCCC